UACGAAGGGGGCGAGCGUUGUUCGGAUUUACUGGGCGUAAAGGGCGCGUAGGCGCUUGUCAGUCAGGCGUGAAAGCCCUGGGCUCAACCUGGGAAUUGCGCUUGGGACGGCGGGGCUUGGAGAUCGGGAGAGAAGAGUGGAAUUCCCAGUGUAGAGGUGAAAUUCGUAGAUAUUGGGAAGAACACCGGUGGCGAAGGCGGCGACCUGGUCCGAUACUGACGCUGAGGCGCGAAAGCGUGGGGAGCAAACAGG
RNAcentral lists this ribosomal RNA (252 nucleotides) under uncultured bacterium. RNAcentral describes it as "partial 16S ribosomal RNA". It matches the Rfam family "Bacterial small subunit ribosomal RNA", at positions 524 to 776 of the family's 1533-position model. The record is from RNAcentral.